AGUACCACAGUGAAUGUCCCAAACCAACUAUGCGCAACAUCUACCGUCUUCUUGCCCAACAAUAUGAUCCACUGGGGUAUAUUAUUCCAUACACAACCAGAGCGAAGAUCAUUGUGCAGCGUCUCUGGGACAAGAAGAGAGGUUGGGAUGACCCCAACCUACCUGAAGAUAUCAUUCAAGCUUGGAAAUCAUGGGAAGAAGAGCUUCCUCAGCUGUCACAGAUCACAUUACCCAGAUGCUACACUGAUCACAACAUCGACUGUAGCACCGCCAGCCAGACUAUCCAUGUGUUCUGUGAUGCAUCUGAACGCGCUUACGGAUCUGUGGCAUAUUUGCGCACUGAUACUGGUAAUGGACAAGUUCAAGUCGCAUUCCUAGCUGCCAGGUCCAGAGUUGCACCAAAGAAGCAACUCUCCAUACCCCGACUUGAACUGUGUGGAGCCUUAACUGGAGCACAGUUAGUUUCAGUGUUGCUUAAAGAACUCACCAUCCAGAUCCAAGAGGUAGUAUAUUGGACAGAUUCCACCACAGUACUCAACUGGCUUCAAUCCGAAUCCUGCAGAUUUAAAGUGUUUGUAGGCACAAGAGUCGCAGAGAUACAGGAGUUAUCAGACAUCAGAGCUUGGCGCUACAUUGACUCUGCCUCUAACCCAGCAGAUGACAUUACGAGAGGGAAGACUCUAUCCCAGCUCACUGGAAUGAGUCGCUGGAGUCAUGGACCCUCCUUUCUUCUGCAGUCAUCUGACCAGUGGCCUGAGGCUCCAACUGGCCAAGUCACUGAAGAAACAGAGGAGCUGAGGAGCACAGUGUUUUGUGGCUUGACAACUGAUGCUACAGUUCCACCUAUACCCGACAUCCGGCAGUUCAGUACCUUCCAAGAGCUACUUGAAGUUACUGCGCGAGCACUACAUGGAGCAGCCAGUGACAAACAUCCCACUGCUGAUGAUUAUCAGAAAGCAGAGCUAGAACUACUGAGACAUGCACAAAGGGAAAGCUUCCCUGAAGAGGUGACACUUCUCAAAGCCGGAAAGGCUCUCCCAUCUACCAGCAGAGUGCUCACACUAGCCCCUGAAUAUCACCAGACUUCAGGCUUAAUUCGUGUUGGUGGUAGGCUCCGUAGAUGUGACAGCCUAAGUCCAGAUGUUCUGCA
This 1150-nucleotide long non-coding RNA is filed under the name Astyanax mexicanus (Mexican tetra). RNAcentral describes it as "lncRNA (ENSAMXG00005002999.1)". The record is from RNAcentral. Lineage: Eukaryota; Metazoa; Chordata; Actinopteri; Characiformes; Acestrorhamphidae.